This 496-nucleotide ribosomal RNA is filed under the name uncultured bacterium. RNAcentral describes it as "partial 16S ribosomal RNA". It matches the Rfam family "Bacterial small subunit ribosomal RNA", at positions 28 to 506 of the family's 1533-position model. The record is from RNAcentral.
GAUGAACGCUGGCGGCGUGCCUAAUACAUGCAAGUCGAGCGAACAGACGAGGAGCUUGCUCCCCUGACGUUAGCGGCUGACGGGUGAGUAACACGUUGAUAACCUACCUAUAAGACUGGGAUAACUUCGGGAAACCGGAGCUAAUACCGUAUAAUAUAUUGAACCUCAUGGUUCAAUAGUGAAAGACGGUUUUGCUGUCUCUCAUCGAUGGCUCCGCGCCGCAUUAGCUAGUUGGUAAUGUAUCGGCUUACCAAGGCAACGAUGCGUAGCCGACCUGAGAGGGUGAGCGGCCACACUGAAAGUGACACACGGUCCAGACUCCUACGAGAGGCAGCAGUAGGAAAUCUUCCGAAGGGGGCGAGAGCCUGACGGAGCAACGGCGCGUGAGUGAUGGAGGUCUUCGGAGCGUAAAACUCUGUUAUGAGGGAAGAACAAAUGUGUAAGUAACUAUGCACGUCUGGACGGUACCUAAUCAGAAAGCCACGGCUAACUACGU